AGAAUCAACGCUGGCGGCGUGCCUAACACAUGCAAGUCGAACGAGAAAGGGGAGCAAUCCCUGAGUAAAGUGGCGACCGGGUGAGUAACACGUGACUAACCUACCCUCGAGUGUGGAAUAACAUCGGGAAACCGAUGCUAAUACCGCAUAACAUCGGCGCUUUUAAGAGAUGCCGAUCAAAGGAGCAAUCCGCUUGAGGAGGGGGUCGCGGCUGAUUAGCUAGUUGGCGGGGUAACGGCCCACCAAGGCGAAGAUCGGUAGCC
This 263-nucleotide ribosomal RNA is filed under the name uncultured bacterium. RNAcentral describes it as "partial small subunit ribosomal RNA". It matches the Rfam family "Bacterial small subunit ribosomal RNA", at positions 26 to 288 of the family's 1533-position model. The record is from RNAcentral.